UUGAGCGAUUUACUUCGGUAAAGAGCGGCGGACGGGUGAGUAACGCGUGGGUAACCUACCCUGUACACACGGAUAACAUACCGAAAGGUAUGCUAAUACGGGAUAACAUAUUUGAGAGGCAUCUCUUAAAUAUCAAAGGUGAGCCAGUACAGGAUGGACCCGCGUCUGAUUAGCUAGUUGGUAAGGUAACGGCUUACCAAGGCGACGAUCAGUAGCCGACCUGAGAGGGUGAUCGGCCACAUUGGAACUGAGACA
This 255-nucleotide ribosomal RNA is filed under the name Clostridioides difficile. Its description in RNAcentral is "partial 16S ribosomal RNA". It matches the Rfam family "Bacterial small subunit ribosomal RNA", at positions 62 to 326 of the family's 1533-position model. Lineage: Bacteria; Bacillati; Bacillota; Clostridia; Peptostreptococcales; Peptostreptococcaceae. The record is from RNAcentral.